GACGAACGCUGGGCGGCGUGCCUAACACAUGCAAGUCGAACGGAACUGUUUUGAAAGAUUUCUUCGGAAUGAAUUUGAUUUAGUUUAGUGGCGGACGGGUGAGUAACGCGUGAGUAACCUGCCUUCAAGAGGGGGAUAACAUUCUGAAAAGAAUGCUAAUACCGCAUGAUAUAUCGGAACCACAUGAUUUUGAUAUCAAAGAUUUUAUCGCUUGAAGAUGGACUCGCGUCCGAUUAGUUAGUUGGUGAGGUAACGGCUCACCAAGACCGCGAUCGGUAGCCGGACUGAGAGGUUGAACGGCCACAUUGGGACUGAGACACGGCCCAGACUCCUACGGGAGGCAGCAGUGGGGGAUAUUGCGCAAUGGGGGCAACCCUGACGCAGCAACGCCGCGUGAAGGAUGAAGGUUUUCGGAUUGUAAACUUCUUUUAUUAAGGACGAAAAUUGACGGUACUUAAUGAAUAAGCUCCGGCUAACUACGUGCCAGCAGCCGCGGUAAUACGUAGGGAGCAAGCGUUGUCCGGAUUUACUGGGUGUAAAGGGUGCGUAGGCGGCUUUGCAAGUCAGAUGUGAAAUCUAUGGGCUCAACCCAUAAACUGCAUUUGAAACUGUAGAGCUUGAGUGAAGUAGAGGCAGGCGGAAUUCCCCGUGUAGCGGUGAAAUGCGUAGAGA
RNAcentral lists this ribosomal RNA (672 nucleotides) under uncultured Lachnospiraceae bacterium. RNAcentral's name for it is "bacterial SSU rRNA". It matches the Rfam family "Bacterial small subunit ribosomal RNA", at positions 28 to 696 of the family's 1533-position model. The record is from RNAcentral. Lineage: Bacteria; Bacillati; Bacillota; Clostridia; Lachnospirales; Lachnospiraceae.